GUUUCUGUAGUGCAAUGGAUAGCGCGUUGGACUUCUAAUCCAAAGGUAGUGGGUUCGGAUCCCACCUGGGAUG
Molecule: transfer RNA, 73 nt
Filed under: Trichonephila clavata
Lineage: Eukaryota; Metazoa; Arthropoda; Arachnida; Araneae; Nephilidae
Rfam family: tRNA
About the family: Transfer RNA (tRNA) molecules are approximately 80 nucleotides in length.
Source: Rfam by way of RNAcentral